GACGAACGCUGGCGGCGUGCUUAACACAUGCAAGUCGAACGGAAAGGCCCUGCUUGCAGGGUACUCGAGUGGCGAACGGGUGAGUAACACGUGGGUGAUCUGCCCUGCACUUCGGGAUAAGCCUGGGAAACUGGGUCUAAUACCGGAUAGGAGCCAUUUUUAGUGUGAUGGUUGGAAAGUUUUUUCGGUGUAGGAUGAGCUCGCGGCCUAUCAGCUUGUUGGUGGGGUAAUGGCCUACCAAGGCGGCGACGGGUAGCCGGCCUGAGAGGGUGGACGGCCACAUUGGGACUGAGAUACGGCCCAGACUCCUACGGGAGGCAGCAGUGGGGAAUAUUGCACAAGGGGCGCAAGCCGGAUGCAGCGACGCCGCGUGGGGGAUGACGGCCUUCGGGUUGUAAACUCCUUUCGCUAGGGACGAAGCUUUUUGUGACGGUACCUAGAGAAGAAGCACCGGCUAACUACGUG
RNAcentral lists this ribosomal RNA (465 nucleotides) under uncultured bacterium. RNAcentral's name for it is "partial 16S ribosomal RNA". It matches the Rfam family "Bacterial small subunit ribosomal RNA", at positions 28 to 507 of the family's 1533-position model. The record is from RNAcentral.